CAACUUGAAUCCCAAAAUUGCGGUAAAAAACGGUCAUCUGAUUUUCCUGGUAAAAAACAACCUUACUUUGAAUUUUCGCCAAAAAUCUCAGUUUGUAGAAAAAUCUUCGGAGGAUGAGUCGACGUUCCUAAAAUGAAUCAUGACAUGACAGAACUUUUAAUUUCUGAAAUCGAGUUUAAAUUCGCGGUUAAUUUCAAUCUGGCGCGAUUUUAGCGUAACCUAAUCUACUUGAUAGCUUUUAUGAACUUUUAGUGCAAUUGACCAGUGGUCGAUUAUUUUCGAGCCACAUUGUGCAUCUUUGACUCAUUGGUGACUCUCGGUUGUCGUGAAAAUCUCAAGGUUUCAAAUACGGACACAUGGUACAGAAUUGACAGAAAAAUUGGUCUAGUGUCGUUCGACGAGGAUUUUGCAAUUAGGUGGAAUCACACACACACUAAUCAUAUACCUCUGUUGAACUAACCUAUCUCUAGUCUUUGGUCAAUUUUAAUAGUGUCGUAAUGACUCUUACAGAUUAGCACGGUUGAAUAGUCGAUUCUUGAUCUUAUUCUCGAAUCUAUUGCGCUUAGAUUCCUUAACGGCUUCACCUGAUAGGCUAGUUAUCUCGUAAGUGACCAACUCAGAGAAAAGAACUAUCAGCGUAUCGAUGAAAAGCUCAGCUUAUUUAAUCGAAAACAUAACCCAAAAAUCAAGAUGUCACAAAUUUGGCACACAAUCCUAAGAUAGAAGUAAAGAAAACAAAGCAAAGAAGAGCCCACAACUCAUUGGGUGUUUAUACAAUGCCAAAACAACUUGAAACAUAAAUCAAGGAAAUGAAUAGUACAAAAAUAGGGUUGGAUCAGAUAUCAACCAUUCAUCGUCUUUAGGUCUUCAAGACAGCCACCUCCAUGGGUCUAUUCCAAUUCUUUCAUAUGACUAAACUAGGAUGUGAAUUAAAAAUGAUUUUAAAGUCACUUAUUGUAAUCAAACAGGUAAUUCAAUCAACCAACAUGUCAUUUCACAUUAAACAUCCAAAGAGAAAUACUCCAACAAUCAAGAAUGGCCUCAGGGUUGGCCUUUGUAUUCAUGCAACGAUCCCUUUAGGACGCCUAUCUGAUUCAUUUAAAAUGACUUGUAGCCAUUAGCCAUCAUUUGUAUUCAUGCGUGGCGACCAAUGUUAAAAGUUCCUAAAGCAGGUUUUAAGUGAUAUCUCAAAACAUCCCAUGAGUACAUGCAUCGCACCUAUGUAUACAUCUAAAAAUCGCAUGCAUAGUUGAAAGUAAACAUGCAUGCAAGCCAUUGUGCCUUGGUUCUCAAUCAAUCAAACAAAUUUAUGAGCCGACACCCGAUCACUUAUUUAGUCAUCAUGCUCCAAUCACAAUCACAUGCACUCUAUAAAAGCAAAUACAUCAAAAGCUAAAAGAUUCUAGUGAUGUCCAAAAAUCAUUUGAUUUACAAUCAAACAAUGGGUUUAAAGAAAACUGUCAAUGACAUGGCAUAAUUAUAUCAUGUCUAUGGAACACAUUUAGCCAUUAAGGUUACCUUGGGUGCUUCGCAAGUGUUCUAAAUGUGGUCCAAACCUAGACAAUAUCAAUACCAACUCUAAGACAUAAUUUGGAAGUUUGAAUAAAGAAUGCAAUGUGAAAGCUUCUAUGAAAGGGACACAUCAUUUCAUCAUAGCUAUGAGACACAUUUAAUUGCUAAGGCUAACUCGAGUGUAUCAAUGGGUACAUUGAUCAAGCUUCCCAGGCAUUUUAAUAUGACUCAAAAUUAAACAAAAUUCAUGUGAAACCAUUAUUCAAACCAUGCUAAAGCAUUUUUAAGAAUGAAAGUUUCCCACGUGGACAUCACAUCAAUGAAAAAUAGAUUCAGAUCAAUCAAAACAUAAAAUUUAAUAUUAUCUUGUGACAUUUGAGGGUUUUGAAAAGCAUGUCAGAAUGCUUUUCAUUUUUUGAUAUUUUUUGUGUAUGGAGUUCGGACCAUGAAGAUUAAAACUCAUGAAGAACCGGUAACCAAUUCAGCAUAUGUAAUUUCCUAAAAAAUGCCACAACAAAGACAAAUCAUAAAAGAAAAAACAGAGCAUGUCGAAAUAGGGCAUACAAUAUUCAAGCAAUUGAAGUAUGGUCCAUGAAAAAUUGGUCCUAAAAAAAAUCACAGUACAUCAAGCACUCAAUAAGGAAUAACUUCCAUUAAGGAAGUUUCCUAAGAUAAGCUACACAUGAAUUUCUAAAAAUAUAAGAACACAAAACAACACAUUAUGAAUAGUCCCGUGCAGCAAGAUGUUCAUGCAUGUUAAUAGCAUUUUGUCCUAGCAAACAAUGUUUAAAAAUUCCCAAAAAUUUACCACAACAUAGUCUUAUAAAUAGCAAACAAAUUCAAUGAAGGACCUGACUUCAAAAACCUUAAGGAACAAUUCACACAAAAAUGACAAAUGGUCUGGUUCAGUAAGGGCAGGACAAGCAUUCUGAAUUUUGGACUUGAUAUAUUCUAGAGCGAACUUCACAAAAAUGGAAAAUGGGUCAAAGGGCAUGCAAUUGAGACAAAAUUGGUGUCAUUGGAAAGCUCAAGAUGUGCCAUAAGGCUUUUUAAGAGACAUCGAGUUCAAUUAAGGUCAAUUUCAUGCAUAAACAAUGACAAUCGCAAAAAUGUGUAAAUUAUUAAUAAAAAUGGUAGAACAUGAUGCCUGAGAAUAGGCUUGCUAAACCAUCUAAAUGAUGCAUGAAAAUUGUGAUAUUUAAACACGACAUAGGGCUAAAUGCAAUAAACAAAUUUGAUUGAAACAUUUAACCCUAUAUCGAUGCACAAAAGAUCACACGGGUUCAUGAACAUCAAUAGGUAGACUAUCACCAAACUCCAUAUAUGGCAAAAUACAAAAUUUUCAGAAUUGAUAUAUCAACUUUGCAAGUGGUUUUCAUAUAGCAAAUGACCUUCAUACGACACGUGCCAUACACCGUUUCAAAGCUCAUGACGUUUUUUAAGUAUCUCUAAAAGGCAUCAUGUAAAAAUUAUGCUCUUAAGGACCCAAUGGAAGACAUCUUCAUAAAGACAGAUCAUUCAUUAUUGCAGCAAGAAUUGGAUGAUCUUCCUUGAUCUAAUUACAUGAUAAAAACCUACAAAAAUUCAUGCAUAUAGAUUGAAAUGUCCAAAUCAUUUCCAGCAUCGAAGUCCAAUUUGGCUCAUAAAAAUCUAUAUGAAAAUAGGAAAACAGAACAAAACUUCCAACAUCACAGAUUGCAGCAACCAAGCAUAAUUUCAUGCAAGCAAAUGACCUAGUUAACGACAACCGUUUGACAUGAUCUAUAUCUGCACUAUGACUUUCCUGGAGGAUGUAAAUUCAACGGAGUAUGUUUACUAGUUCAUUUAUAGACAAAUACACAUCGGGUUCAAACAGGACAAAACAAUCUAAGGACAAUUUAUUAGAGAUUUCCUUGACUAAAUCUACUCCAAAAAAUCUGGAAAAAUAUAUGUCGUGACCAGAGCAAUUUCGACCAACUUUCAUGAAAUAAUUUUAACCAUAAAAUCAGAGCACAAAAACCAGCAAAAAAUCAACAAACAAUGCAGACCGCGAAUCAACAAAACAACAUAACAUUUGGUAGAUUUUGGACUCAACUUUGAGUAUAUGAAAACUAUAUCAAAGGAGCCCUGUUUAGGGUGUUCUAUGGCUUGUGAGAAAGAUAUUUGAAUUGCUUCCGACUUUCAUGAAGGCAUCGAACACAGAAAAGCAUGUUUGCAAGCUGAUAUUGAGUGGUUUCUCAAAUUAGUCAUCUAAACAUCCGAAAAUUGCAGAAUCAACUCAUCCAAUCAAUCACGCAUACCUAAGCUAAUCAAGCUCAUCUUAAGCUAUUCUAAGGCCAUUCUAACAUCUUAAACAUGUUGAAAUUGUAGAACUCAAACCCUAGGGUGAGCUCUAGCCUUGGUUGUCUAGAACAACCCUGCUUCAUGAAGCUCCGAAUUGAGAAGUUACCUUUGAUACGAUUUCAGCGAUUUGAGCUCAAUCGGACAACAAUCAAGCCUUCAUAGUAACUUGAGGAUGUAAAGGGAGCUUCGUAGGACCUGAGGACCGCCAGAGGAGGGUCGAACGACGUCGGAUCACUGCCAAUCAGCAACUGAUGGGCGAUCCGCUAGGUUGAGGAUCGUUGGUAAAGAAUCAACCAUUGGAGCUCGUCCGGUGGAUAUUCGGCUAAGUCCCGACAACCACAAGGUCGGGGAUUCACUAAUGGACGUCGUUGGGAUGAUCAGAAGGGCUCGAGAGGUCGGCAGAUCGUCAAUCAAGGUUAGAGGAACUAGCGAACUACCUUAUCGGGUCGAUCGCUGGUUUGCUUGACUCGCAGGAAAGAGAACGCCAAAUGGCUAGAUUGGGGACUCGCCAGAGGUUGGGCUAACCACCAGGAGCUUGGGCGAGAUGACAACGUCGCCGAGAGGCUGGGUGGAGACCAUGAAACUACCGACGUAAGGCCGGCAGGUGCCAAAUGGCGAACUGGCAAUAGGCCGAUUUAAGAGAGAGAAUGGGCGUGAAGCAGGAGAGAGAGAGUUUUUAUUAGAGAACUUAUUGGAUUUUCAAAUUUGGAAUUUCAUCAAAUGAGG
RNAcentral lists this long non-coding RNA (4560 nucleotides) under Eucalyptus grandis. RNAcentral describes it as "long non-coding RNA (EGRA_LNC002228)". The record is from RNAcentral. Lineage: Eukaryota; Viridiplantae; Streptophyta; Magnoliopsida; Myrtales; Myrtaceae.